UACACCCAAUUGGCAACGGCGCCAAAUUGAUAAUAGGGUUUUUAGUCAAUUAUCGUUGUCGUUGUAGUAUUUUAGGUUGUCAAUCCAAAUGGGUGGGAUGCGAACAAUCAAGAUGUGAUCAGAAGUCACUAAGUCAAGCCAAGCAAUAACAGGUUUUGGUGUGUUCUAGCAGUCCUAAGUGAACAUGCAGAAAACAGAAAAUCAAGUAGAAACAGCAAAACACUCGACCAACACAGCUCGUUGCAGAGCAUUGGGUGUGGUCGAGUAACAGGCAGUAAGCGAAAUAAAGACACUCGACUGCACAGUCGGUUACCAGACAACUGGGUGGUUGAGUAUCAGGUCGAGUAACAGGAAAGAAUUAUAGAAACUAAGCAACAGAUGACAAGAUGUAGUAAACAACAGUAGAGUAAACAAUAAAAUCAAUCAGAUAAAGAAUUCCCGAGGAUGAGGUAAUUGAGUAGUUUCGUUUCCUCAGUUUAUAGGUGAUUGAUAUGCUCAAUAAAUUAUCCCUAGACAACAAGUUCAUUAACCAAAUAUAAGUGCCACCGUUACAGAGACCCUCAAGUUAACCUAGUCCCAGACUCAAUGACCAUUGAAGAGAGCUAACCUAACAGGCAUUACGAAUCAAUAAGUCAAAGCCAAAACGCUCUCUGCAACCAAUACCUUGGUACAGGCCAACAAAUCUCUGGAAUUAGUGGUUCAGACAUUUCAUCGAACACCUUUUGGGCGCGGAAAUGUCUGGGCUCAAAUUCAAGUUGAUUGGAAAGCAAUAGGCAUUAAGAACAACUAAUCCAGAAGGGAUCUAUCAAUCAAACUCAACCACCUAGCAUAAUGAGAAUUCUAAACUACUCUAACCCAUCCUCAGAAACCUAUUCACUACUCAGGUUAAGAACAAAUACUGAAUACUGAAUACUAAAUAGAUAAAGAGAAAUCCGGAUUACAAAAGGUCAAGAACACAGUGUCUACGGAAUAAAACCUAGAAAAACUUGUUCUCGAAAAUGUAAAGUACAUGCUACUUAUAGCAAAAUAUCCCGAAACCCUAAUACUCAAAACAACGCAUUAUUGGGACGAAUUAAGAACUGUACUCGACCCAAGUGGUUGAGUGAGUGGUCGAGUGAUAAGCUAGAGUCUUCUUUUCUUCCUUGUGCUCGAGUGUCUUGUUGAGUGCAGAAUGGAGAAGACUCUGAAGCUUGCCAUCGAGUAUGUAGUCGAGUGGUGGUGAUGGUGAUACUCAACUACCAGGUAGAGUGAUGUGAUCGAGUGAUGGUCAGGUGGUGGAGGUGAAGAUACUCGACCAGGGGGUCGAGUGAUGUGAUCGAGUGUCUCCCUUGGCUGUACUCGACCAGGGGGUCGAGUGGUGACGUGAAGUGCUGAGGUCUUCUACUCGACCAAGAGGUCGAGUGGUCUGUUGAAGUCGUGAAGCAUCUACUCGACCAGGG
This 1439-nucleotide small RNA is filed under the name Arabidopsis thaliana (thale cress). RNAcentral describes it as "ATSL090810". Lineage: Eukaryota; Viridiplantae; Streptophyta; Magnoliopsida; Brassicales; Brassicaceae. The record is from RNAcentral.